UCUAAAAUCAAGGGGGAUAACCCGCUAAAUUAAACCUU
This 38-nucleotide ribosomal RNA is filed under the name Pilobolus kleinii. Its description in RNAcentral is "partial 28S ribosomal RNA". Lineage: Eukaryota; Fungi; Mucoromycota; Mucoromycetes; Mucorales; Pilobolaceae. The record is from RNAcentral.